GGCGGUGGACCCGGCAGAGGCGUGGUCCAGCGGCGGGCGGGCACUGGAUCAGCCUUGCAGAUCCCUCAGUGAGGACGUCCGCUGAGCCAGCGAGGAGGCUGUUGCUUUUCUGAGUUGCUCUCUUCCAAGGCUCGGUCCGCUAGUCCGCAUGGCCCGUGGAAAUCAGAGAGAACUUGCCCGCCAGAAAAACAUGAAGAAAUCCCAGGAAAUUAGCAAGGGAAAAAGAAAAGAGGAUAGCUUGACUACCUCUCAGAGAAAACAAAGGGACUCUGAGAUCAUGCAACAAAAGCAAAAAGCAGCUAAUGAGAAGAAGUUGAUGCAGACAAGAGAAAAAUGAUGACUGACAACUUGGAAAACCUGGAUGCUAUGGCCAACUAGGUGUAUCACAAGCUCUAUGAUCAAGACUUUGUAGAGUGAACAGUCAUUACAUAUGUUAUGACCUAUCCUUAUAAAAACUAUUUUAAACUUUACCUUUCAGCCUGACUCAGCGUGACAUUUCAGAACCAUUCUUCAAAGAAUAAAACACUAGCCAUGCUGGGGGGAGGGAGAUAUAAGGGGACUAAAUGGUAAUGGAAAAAAAUACAAUAAAGAUUAAAUCAAAAUAAAAUCAAACACUACCAUGCAUGUGA
Phyllostomus hastatus (greater spear-nosed bat) is the source of this 629-nucleotide long non-coding RNA. RefSeq lists it as uncharacterized. The record is from RefSeq and is a predicted model, not a curated record. The transcript is spliced from 3 exons. Lineage: Eukaryota; Metazoa; Chordata; Mammalia; Chiroptera; Phyllostomidae.